UUCUUAUUAGAUGAUGACUGUCAUUUGUCAUGUUCUGAUUGAAUGUCGAAUUUAUGGAAGAUGAAAUACAUUGUUGUUGUCAUUGACCAAUCAGAAUAUGACACGUGACCGUCUUUAUUC
Non-coding RNA from Glycine soja, 120 nucleotides. The record is from Rfam. Lineage: Eukaryota; Viridiplantae; Streptophyta; Magnoliopsida; Fabales; Fabaceae.